Molecule: ribosomal RNA, 253 nt
Filed under: uncultured bacterium
Lineage: Bacteria
Description: partial 16S ribosomal RNA
Rfam family: Bacterial small subunit ribosomal RNA
Source: RNAcentral
GACAGAGGGUGCAAACGUUGUUCGGAAUUACUGGGCGUAAAGCGAGUGUAGGCGGUUUGGAUAGUCGGAUGUGAAAGCCCCGGGCUCAACCCGGGAAGUGCAUUCGAUACUCCCAAGCUAGAGUAUCGGAGAGGUUGGUGGAAUUCUCGGUGUAGAGGUGAAAUUCGUAGAUAUCUGGAGGAACACCGGUGGCGAAGGCGGCAUCCUGGACCAAUACUGACGCUGAGGAGCGAAAGCCAGGGGAGCAAACGGG